UUAAUUGUACCUCUCUAUAUCUUAUCUCUGCUCCAAUUGUAACCAGACCCAGGUUUGGCUCCCCAUCGCUGGAAAGCUGAACACAAGAGGUGCUUGAGUGACAUGAGUCUCUUAAUCAUUUAAAAAUUAAAGCAUCAUCAACCAGCACUGUAGAAUUAAGAAUAUAAGGCAUCCCAUUCUGCCCUGCAUAUUCAAGAGGCUGUGGACUGCUUGCUCCAUUUCCAUGCUGCCCUCAAUCUCAG
Molecule: long non-coding RNA, 242 nt
Filed under: Homo sapiens (human)
Lineage: Eukaryota; Metazoa; Chordata; Mammalia; Primates; Hominidae
Description: HSALNT0305666
Source: RNAcentral